UACGUAGGGCGCAAGCGUUGUCCGGAAUUAUUGGGCGUAAAGAGCUCGUAGGCGGCUUGUCACGUCGGGUGUGAAAGCCCGGGGCUUAACCCCGGGUCUGCAUUCGAUACGGGCAGGCUAGAGUGUGGUAGGGGAGAUCGGAAUUCCUGGUGUAGCGGUGAAAUGCGCAGAUAUCAGGAGGAACACCGGUGGCGAAGGCGGGUCUCUGGGCCGUAACUGACGCUGAGGAGCGAAAGCGUGGGGAGCGAACAGG
This 253-nucleotide ribosomal RNA is filed under the name uncultured bacterium. RNAcentral's name for it is "partial 16S ribosomal RNA". It matches the Rfam family "Bacterial small subunit ribosomal RNA", at positions 524 to 776 of the family's 1533-position model. The record is from RNAcentral.